RNAcentral lists this ribosomal RNA (356 nucleotides) under uncultured organism. Its description in RNAcentral is "bacterial LSU rRNA". It matches the Rfam family "Bacterial large subunit ribosomal RNA", at positions 2099 to 2465 of the family's 2925-position model. The record is from RNAcentral.
CUUUACUAUAGCUUUGCAUUGACUUCGGGCAUGGGAUGUGUAGGAUAGGUGGGAGGCUGUGAAGUGGUGUCGCUAGGCAUCGUGGAGCCAACGUUGAAAUACCACCCUUCUGAUGGUUGGAGUCUAAUCCCUUUGGGGAGACAUUGCAUGGUGGGUAGUUUGACUGGGGUGGUCGCCUCCAAAAGAGUAACGGAGGCUUUCAAAGGUACCCUCAGCACGCUUGGUAACCGUGCGUAGAGUGCAAUCGCAAAAGGGUGCUUGACUGCAAGACCUACAAGUCGAGCAGGUACGAAAGUAGGAGAUAGUGAUCCGGUGGUUUCCGUAUGGAAGGGCCAUCGCUCAUAGGAUAAAAGGUA